RNAcentral lists this non-coding RNA (208 nucleotides) under Salimicrobium flavidum. Its description in RNAcentral is "T-box sequence". It matches the Rfam family "T-box leader". From Rfam's summary of the family: Uncharged tRNA acts as the effector for transcription antitermination of genes in the T-box leader family. T-boxes are found upstream of many aminoacyl-tRNA synthetase genes and some amino acid biosynthetic genes usually in Gram-positive bacteria. The record is from RNAcentral. Lineage: Bacteria; Bacillati; Bacillota; Bacilli; Caryophanales; Bacillaceae.
GAGUAGACGUGGAAGAGGAGUAGUAAUGAUCGAAGGAAGUGAAGAGAGACAGCGGUUGCUGAGAGCUGUACUUCCCGCGUUCAUGAACUCGCCUUGGAUGUUGCAAAAGGGAUAAUCUUUUGCCGGGGGACCUCCGUUAUCGGGGUGAAGUGAGCGUGGAAAUCGCUAAUUUGGGUGGUACCGCGAGAUGCAGCCUCUCGUCCCGUAG